GGAGCUGCUGCGCUCAGAGCGCUCAGACCUUGACCGCAGCAGCCGGCGACGGAGGCAAACUCCCGCCCGCCAGCCCUCCCGGCGACAUGCGCCUCGGCUAGCGGCUCGCUGGUCCCCCGCGCCACCACGCGUCUUUUUUUUUUUUUCUUCCUCUCUCGAUUCUCUUUUUCUCUCCCGCACACACGCACACACAGUCUCACAUCAGUCUAUACACUGGAGGAUAAAAAAAAAAUAACAUUGCCUUCGUGCCCCCUCCCUCUCCACCCCCAGCAGCGGAGAAACGGCGCGUUGAGGGGCGCCGGACCGUCUGGAAAUGCUAAUCCUCAAGCGCUUCCUCGCUUGCAUUCAGCUCCUCUGUGUUUGCCGCCUUGGUGAGUGAUCAAGACCGCGGUGGGGUUUCAUCUCCGGGCCCGGUGGGACGCGGUUGGGGGGAUUUCAGAGUAUUCCCUACUAGCUGCCGCCGCCAUCUAGAGCAAGCAGAGAACAGGGACCAUCACCUCGGAUCCCGCGAUGUUGGCGGUGGCAGGACGGAUGUCAGCUGCGUGGGGUACGCGCCCUCUCCCCAGCUCCUGCCUCCGCCACCUUCCCUUUGCCCACGGGGAUGC
RNAcentral lists this long non-coding RNA (605 nucleotides) under Marmota monax (woodchuck). Lineage: Eukaryota; Metazoa; Chordata; Mammalia; Rodentia; Sciuridae. The record is from RNAcentral.